This 397-nucleotide ribosomal RNA is filed under the name Pseudochattonella sp. Its description in RNAcentral is "partial small subunit ribosomal RNA". It matches the Rfam family "Eukaryotic small subunit ribosomal RNA", at positions 582 to 975 of the family's 1831-position model. Lineage: Eukaryota; Dictyochophyceae; Florenciellales. The record is from RNAcentral.
AUUCCAGCUCCAAUAGCGUAUAUUAAAGUUGUUGCAGUUAAAAAGCUCGUAGUUGGAUUUCUGGCGUCGCCGCCCGGUCGGCCUCAAAAGGGGUUCGCACUCGUUGGCGCGCGUCGCCAUCCUCGGGGGAAGGCCGCCUGGCAUUAAGUUGUCGGGCGGUCGACGCUCGUCGUUUACUGUGAACAAAUUAGAGUGUUCAAAGCAGGCUUAGGCCGUUGAAUACAUUAGCAUGGAAUAAUGAGAUAGGACUUUGGUGGUCUAUUUUGUUGGUUUGCACGCCGAAGUAAUGAUUAAUAGGGGCGGUUGGGGGUAUUCGUAUUCAAUUGUCAGAGGUGAAAUUCAUGGAUUUAUGAAAGACGAACUACUGCGAAAGCAUUUACCAAGGAUGUUUUCAUUA